AUGGCGGCGACGGCGACGAAGCUGAGCAGCGGCCACGAGAUGCCGGCCGUGGGGCUCGGCGUCUGGCGGAUGGACUCCGCCGCCGUCCGCGGCCUCAUCCACUCCGCCCUCCGCGCCGGCUACCGCCACUUCGACUGCGCCGCUGACUACAAAAACGAGGCUGAGGUUGGCGAUGCGCUCGCGGAGGCAUUCAAAACUGGGCUUGUCAAGAGGGAGGAUCUUUUCAUCACUACCAAGUUGUGGAACUCAGAUCACGGCCAUGUGGUCGAAGCCUGCAAGGAUAGCCUGAAGAAGCUGCGAUUGGAUUAUCUAGAUCUCUACCUUAUUCACUUCCCUGUAGCUACUAAGCAUACUGGAGUCGGCACAACUGGCAGUGCUCUUGGUGAUGAUGGCGUGCUUGAUAUCGAUACCACUAUCACAUUGGAGACAACGUGGCAUGCAAUGGAAGAUCUUGUUUCCAUGGGACUUGUUCGUAGCAUCGGAAUUAGCAACUACGACAUCUUCCUCACCAGAGACUGCUUGGCCUACGCUAAGAUAAAGCCCGCGGUGAACCAAAUCGAGACACACCCUUACUUCCAGCGCGACUCUCUUGUGAAGUUCUGCCAGAAGCAUGGAAUCUCUGUCACCGCACAUACACCCCUGGGCGGCUCCACUGCCAACACCGAAUGGUUCGGCUCGGUCUCAUGCCUCGACGAUCCUGUCAUCAAGUCCCUGGCUGAGAAAUACGGCAAGACGCCGGCCCAGCUGGUCCUCCGGUGGGGCCUCCAGAGGAACACGGUGGUCAUCCCCAAGACCUCCAAGGUAGAGAGGCUGGAGGAGAACUUUGCGGUCUUCGACUUCGACAUCUCCGCCGAGGACAUGGAGAAGAUCAAGGCCCUCGAUCGCAACUACCGCACCAACCAGCCGGCCAAGUUCUGGGGCAUCAACCUCUACGCUUGA
RNAcentral lists this ribosomal RNA (939 nucleotides) under Triticum aestivum (bread wheat). RNAcentral's name for it is "partial small subunit ribosomal RNA". The record is from RNAcentral. Lineage: Eukaryota; Viridiplantae; Streptophyta; Magnoliopsida; Poales; Poaceae.